Molecule: ribosomal RNA, 433 nt
Filed under: uncultured bacterium
Lineage: Bacteria
Description: partial 16S ribosomal RNA
Rfam family: Bacterial small subunit ribosomal RNA
Source: RNAcentral
AGCGAACGCUGGCGGCAGGCCUAACACAUGCAAGUCGAACGGACCCUUCGGGGUUAGUGGCGGACGGGUGAGUAACACGUGGGAACGUGCCUUUAGGUUCGGAAUAGCUCCUGGAGACGGGUGGUAAUGCCGAAUGUGCCCUUCGGGGGAAAGAUUUAUCGCCUUUAGAGCGGCCCGCGUCUGAUUAGCUAGUUGGUGAGGUAACGGCUCACCAAGGCGACGAUCAGUAGCUGGUCUGAGAGGAUGACCAGCCACACUGGGACUGAGACACGGCCCAGACUCCUACGGGAGGCAGCAGUGGGGAAUCUUGCGCAAUGGGCGAAAGCCUGACGCAGCCAUGCCGCGUGAAUGAUGAAGGUCUUAGGAUUGUAAAAUUCUUUCACCGGGGACGAUAAUGACGGUACCCGGAGAAGAAGCCCCGGCUAACUUCGUG